RNA transcript from Propithecus coquereli (Coquerel's sifaka), 2127 nucleotides. It is a transcript of the gene named 14-3-3 protein zeta/delta pseudogene, with no coding region annotated. The record is from RefSeq and is a predicted model, not a curated record. The transcript has a single exon. Lineage: Eukaryota; Metazoa; Chordata; Mammalia; Primates; Indriidae.
UGAGCAGCGAGAUCCAGGGACAGAGUCUCAGCCUCGCCGCUGCCGCUGCCCAGAGACUGCUGAGCCCCCGUCCGUCCGCCCGCCGCCACCCACUCCGGACACAGAACAUCCAGUCAUGGAUAAAAAUGAGCUGGUUCAGAAGGCCAAACUGGCCGAGCAGGCUGAACGAUAUGAUGACAUGGCAGCCUGCAUGAAGUCUGUAACUGAGCAAGGAGCUGAAUUAUCCAAUGAGGAGAGGAAUCUUCUCUCAGUUGCUUAUAAGAAUGUUGUAGGAGCCCGUAGGUCAUCUUGGAGGGUCGUCUCAAGUAUUGAGCAAAAGACGGAAGAUGCUGAGAAAAAACAGCAGAUGGCUCGAGAAUACAGAGAGAAAAUUGAGACCGAGCUAAGAGAUAUCUGCAAUGAUGUACUGUCUCUUUUGGAAAAGUUCUUGAUCCCCAAUGCUUCACAAGCAGAGAGCAAAGUCUUCUAUUUGAAAAUGAAGGGAGACUACUACCGUUACUUGGCUGAGGUUGCUGCUGGUGAUGACAAGAAAGGGAUUGUGGAUCAGUCACAACAAGCAUACCAAGAAGCUUUUGAAAUCAGCAAAAAGGAAAUGCAACCAACACAUCCUAUCAGAUUGGGUCUGGCCCUUAACUUCUCUGUGUUCUAUUACGAGAUUCUGAACUCCCCAGAGAAAGCCUGCUCUCUUGCAAAAACAGCUUUUGAUGAAGCCAUUGCUGAACUUGAUACAUUAAGUGAAGAGUCAUACAAAGACAGCACGCUAACAAUGCAAUUGCUAAGAGACAACUUGACAUUGUGGACAUCGGAUACCCAAGGAGAUGAAGCUGAAGCAGGAGAAGGAGGGGAAAAUUAACCGGCCUUCCAACUUUUGUCUGCCUCAUUCUAAAAUUUACACAGUAGACCAUUUUGUCAUCCAUGCUGUCCCACAAAUAGUUUUUUGUUUACAAUUUAUGACAGGUUUAUGUUACUUCUAUUUGAAUUUCUAUAUUUCCCAUGUGGUUUUUAUGUUUAAUAUUAGGGGAGUAGAGCCAGUUAACAUUUAGGGAAUUAUCUGUUUUCAUCUUGAGGUGGCCAAUAUGGGGAUGUGGAAUUUUUAUACAAGUUAUAAAUGUUCGGCAUAGUACUUUUGGUACAUUGUGGCUUCACAAGGGCCAAUGUUAAAACUGCUUCCAUGUCUAAGCAAAGAAAACUGCCUAUGUAUUGGUUUGUCCUGGUGGGGGAUAAAAGGGAUAAUUGGUUCCGGUCACAGGUGUAGUUAUUGUGGGUACUUUUAAGGUUUGGAGCACUUACAAGGCUGUGGUAGAAACAGAUAUGUCAUGGAUACUACAUGUUUAAACCAUGUGUAUCUGUAGAAUACUCAAUCUCAAUGUGCACACCUUUGACUACAGCUGCAGAAGUGUUCCUUUAGACAAAAUUGUGACCCAAUUUACUCUGGAUAAGGGCAGAAACGGUUCACAUUCCAUUUUUUGUAAAGUUACCUGCUGUUUGCUUUCAUUAUUUUGCUACACUCAUUUUAUUUGUAUUUAAAUGUUUUAGGCAACCUAAGAACAAAUGUAAAAGUAAAGAUGCAGUAAAAUGAAUUGCUUGAUACCCAUUACUUCGUGCAUAUCAAACAUAGCAGUAAAACAAAAAAACCCAUGUAUUUAACUUUUUUUAGGUUUUUUGCUUUUGUGAUUUUUUUUUUUGAUACUUGUCUAACAUGCAUGUGCUGUAAAAAAUGGUUAACAGGGAAAUAAUUUGAGAUGAUGGCUAGCUUUGUUUAAAUGUCUUAUGAGAUUUUCAUGAACAAUCCAAGCAUAAUUGUUAAGAACACGUGUAUUAAGUUCAUGUAAGUGGAAUAAAAGUUUUAUGAAUGGACUUUUCAACUACUUUCUCUACAGCUUUUCAUGUAAAUUAGUCUUUUGGUUCUGAAACUUCUCUAAAGGAAAUUGUACAUUUUUGGAAAUUUAUUCCUUAUUCCCUCUUGACAGCUAAUGGGCUUUUACCAAGUUUAAAGACAAAGUUUAUCAUAACAAAAAUACUACUAAUAUAACUACUGUUUCCAACCAUGUCCCAUGUUCCCCUCUCCUCCUCCCAACCCCCCAAAAAAUGAGUUGUUAUUUUUUCUGGGGGAGGGGGAGAUUGAUU